This 214-nucleotide long non-coding RNA is filed under the name Prunus dulcis (almond). Its description in RNAcentral is "sRNA ncRNA". Lineage: Eukaryota; Viridiplantae; Streptophyta; Magnoliopsida; Rosales; Rosaceae. The record is from RNAcentral.
AGUGCAUACAAGAGCAAAUGAAUUGCUGACAGAUUUCUACUAAGAGCAGAAAAGCACGAGAUAAAGAAAUUCCAUAUGAAUUUCUUUGUUAUUUGUUCUUAAAGGCAGCAACACAGUGAGAUUUCUCUCACAGAUGCCUUGAGCAUCCAAAGCCACAAACAAGCAUCAAAGGAAGAAUAGCCGAUGAUGUAGGCGAGAACCCACCAAGAGGCCU